Non-coding RNA from Schizophyllum commune H4-8, 82 nucleotides. Lineage: Eukaryota; Fungi; Basidiomycota; Agaricomycetes; Agaricales; Schizophyllaceae. The record is from Rfam.
GCAUUAAUGGGGUAGUGGUAACCUGGGUCGUUGCCAUCGAGCAACGCUCGACCCGCCGGGGGUUCGAUUCCCCCUUAAUGCA